This 255-nucleotide ribosomal RNA is filed under the name uncultured bacterium. RNAcentral's name for it is "partial 16S ribosomal RNA". It matches the Rfam family "Bacterial small subunit ribosomal RNA", at positions 524 to 776 of the family's 1533-position model. The record is from RNAcentral.
UACGUAGGGGGCUAGCGUUGUCCGGAAUCAUUGGGCGUAAAGAGCGUGUAGGCGGUCCGGUAAGUCCGCUGUGAAAGUCGGGGGCUCAACCCUCGAAUGCCGGUGGAUACUGUCGGGCUAGAGUGCGGAAGAGGCGAGUGGAAUUCCGUGGUGUAGCGGUGAAAUGCGCAGAUAUCAGGAGGAACACCUAUUGCGAAGGCAGCUCGCUGGGACGUUACUGACGCUGGAGACGCGAAAGCGUGGGGAGCAAACAGG